AGAUUGAACGCUGGCGGCAUGCCUUACACAUGCAAGUCGAACGGCAGCACGGACUUCGGUCUGGUGGCGAGUGGCGAACGGGUGAGUAAUAUAUCGGAACGUACCCUGGAGUGGGGGAUAACGCAGCGAAAGUUGCGCUAAUACCGCAUACGAUCUACGGAUGAAAGUGGGGGCUCGCAAGACCUCAU
Molecule: ribosomal RNA, 188 nt
Filed under: uncultured soil bacterium
Lineage: Bacteria
Description: partial 16S ribosomal RNA
Rfam family: Bacterial small subunit ribosomal RNA
Source: RNAcentral